RNAcentral lists this long non-coding RNA (285 nucleotides) under Elaeis guineensis (African oil palm). RNAcentral's name for it is "long non-coding RNA (EGUI_LNC061292)". The record is from RNAcentral. Lineage: Eukaryota; Viridiplantae; Streptophyta; Magnoliopsida; Arecales; Arecaceae.
AGGAUCAAAAGGAUGAAUUAUGUGGUAACCAUGUACAUGGAUUAUGGAAUAUUUCUUUACAAUAAUUCGAGCUAUCUGGACAUCGAAAAUUAUUGCUAGAUUGUAUUUUGAUUAGUACAAGAAUCAGUUCCUAUGCUACUGGCUUAGUGUUUGAACCUGAGUCACACACACAAGUCAAACAUCAUAGGAAAGUAUUGGCUUAUGUUUAUGUGUCCAAUUUGGAGGUGCUUGACUUGAUUGAAUAUAUAAGCUAACUUGAUUGAGAAUUAAGUUAUGGAUCAAAUG